Molecule: transfer RNA, 72 nt
Filed under: Camelus ferus (Wild Bactrian camel)
Lineage: Eukaryota; Metazoa; Chordata; Mammalia; Artiodactyla; Camelidae
Rfam family: tRNA
About the family: Transfer RNA (tRNA) molecules are approximately 80 nucleotides in length.
Source: Rfam by way of RNAcentral
GUGGGUAUAGCUCAGUGGUAAGGUUCAUGCUUAGCAUGCACGGGGUCCUGGGUUCAAUCCCUAGUACUUCCA